RNAcentral lists this long non-coding RNA (210 nucleotides) under Carica papaya (papaya). RNAcentral's name for it is "long non-coding RNA (CPAP_LNC015666)". Lineage: Eukaryota; Viridiplantae; Streptophyta; Magnoliopsida; Brassicales; Caricaceae. The record is from RNAcentral.
GGUGCAUAAGGAAAACCCUACUGUAGACAACUCUUCAGUCGAACAGAGCUGAGAAGUCUCAUACUGGAUGGGGUAUCGAGGUGGUGGUAUGUUUGGCACCCAUUACCAGAUGAGAUAUGAGAACGACCGAUUGAUUGAUAAUUUAAAUAUUGAUUUCACGCGUAGGAGAACGUCCCUAUGGACCCCUAGAGAUACUAGUAAGCAGGUAAG